Molecule: ribosomal RNA, 405 nt
Filed under: uncultured bacterium
Lineage: Bacteria
Description: partial 16S ribosomal RNA
Rfam family: Bacterial small subunit ribosomal RNA
Source: RNAcentral
AUUGAACGCUGGCGGCAGGCUUAACACAUGCAAGUCGAGCGAGCGGCGGACGGGUGAGUAAUGUCUGGGAAACUGCCUGAUGGAGGGGGAUAACUACUGGAAACGGUAGCUAAUACCGCAUCCCAUCAGAUGUGCCCAGAUGGGAUUAGCUAGUAGGUGGGGUAAUGGCUCACCUAGGCGACGACCCCUAGCUGGUCUGAGAGGAUGACCAGCAAAACUGGAAGUGAGACACGGUGAAGGUUCCUACGGGAGGGAGCAGUGGGGAAUAUUGCACAAUGGGCGCAAGACUGAUGCAGCCAUGCCGCGUGUGUGAAGAAGGCCUUCGGGUUGUAAAGCACUUUCAGCGAGGAGGCGUUACUCGCAGAAGAAGCACCGGCUAACUACGUGCCAGCAGCCGCGUAAUUC